Molecule: ribosomal RNA, 834 nt
Filed under: uncultured Pirellula sp.
Lineage: Bacteria; Pseudomonadati; Planctomycetota; Planctomycetia; Pirellulales; Pirellulaceae
Description: bacterial SSU rRNA
Rfam family: Bacterial small subunit ribosomal RNA
Source: RNAcentral
AGAGUUUGAUCCUGGCUCAGAAUGAACGUUGGCGGCGUGGAUUAGGCAUGCAAGUCGAACGAGAAUCCCCGCAAGGGGAGGAAAGUGGCGAAAGGGAGAGUAAUACGUAGGUACCUGCCCUCGGGUCUGGGAUAGCUGCGGGAAACUGCAAUUAAUACCGGAUGACGUCUCUGGACCAAAGGUGUGAUUCCGCCAGAGGAUGGGCCUGCGUCCUAUCAGCUAGUUGGUGUGGUAAUGGCGCACCAAGGCAAAGACGGGUACGGGGUGUGAGAGCAUGCCCCCGCUCACUGGGACUGAGACACUGCCCAGACACCUACGGGUGGCUGCAGUCGAGAAUCUUCCGCAAUGGGCGCAAGCCUGACGGAGCGACGCCGCGUGUGGGAUGAAGGCCUUCGGGUUGUAAACCACUGUCAGUGGGGAGCAAAUGCAUCAGGGUUCUCCCUGGUGUUUGAGCGAUCCGCAGAGGAAGCACAGGCUAAUUCCGUGCCAGCAGCCGCGGUAAUACGGAAUGUGCAAACGUUAUUCGGAAUCACUGGGCUUAAAGAGUCCGUAGGCGGCUUGUUAGGUGAGGUGUGAAAUCCCCCGGCCCAACCGAGGAAUUGCGCUUCAAACCGGCAAGCUAGAGGAGGAUAGAGGUGGGCGGAACUGAUGGUGGAGCGGUGAAAUGCGUUGAUAUCAUCAGGAACACCGGAGGCGAAGGCGGUCCACUGGGUCCUAUCUGACGCUGAGGGACGAAAGCUAGGGGAGCGAACGGGAUUAGAUACCCCGGUAGUCCUAGCCUUAAACGAUGAGCACUAGACCGAAGAAUCUCCACGAUUUUUUGGUCGUAGCGAA